This 500-nucleotide ribosomal RNA is filed under the name uncultured cyanobacterium. RNAcentral's name for it is "bacterial SSU rRNA". It matches the Rfam family "Bacterial small subunit ribosomal RNA", at positions 356 to 869 of the family's 1533-position model. Lineage: Bacteria; Bacillati; Cyanobacteriota. The record is from RNAcentral.
GGGGAAUUUUCCGCAAUGGGCGCAUGUCUGACGGAGCAAUACCGCGUGAGGGAAGAAGGCUCUUGGGUUGUAAACCUCUUUUCUUAGGGAAGAAAAAAAUGACGGUACCUAAGGAAUAAGCAUCGGCUAACUCCGUGCCAGCAGCCGCGGUAAUACGGAGGAUGCAAGCGUUAUCCGGAAUGAUUGGGCGUAAAGCGUCCGCAGGUGGCAAGUCAAGUUUGCGGUUAAAGGUUCUGGCUCAACCAGGGACAGGCCGUGAAAACUGACUAGCUAGAGUAUGGUAGGGGCAGAGGGAAUUCCCAGUGUAGCGGUGAAAUGCGUAGAGAUUGGGAAGAACACCGGUGGCGAAAGCGCUCUGCUAGGCCAAAACUGACACUGAGGGACGAAAGCUAGGGGAGCGAAUGGGAUUAGAUACCCCAGUAGUCCUAGCCGUAAACGAUGGAUACUAGGUGUAGCUUGUAUCGACCCAAGCUGUGCCGUAGCUAACGCGUUAAGUAUCC